UCCGGCUUGACGCCGGCAGUCCCCCGAGAGUCCUCAGCUUUACCUGUUAGCAACACGGGGCAAGGGUUUCGCUCGUUAUAGGACUUGACCAAACAUCUCACGACACGAGCUGACGACAGCCACGCAGCACCUGUAUGAAAGUCAGUACCAUCCCGUUAAGGACUGGUUUUGUUGUUCAUAUGUCAAGGGCUGGUAAGGUUUUGCGCGUUGUAUCGAAUUAAUCCACAUGCUCCGCCGCUUGUGCGGGCCCCCGUCAAUUCCUUUGAGUUUUAGCCUUGCGGCCGUACUCCCCAGGCGGGGCACUUAAUGCGUUAGCUGCGGCACAGAAACCGUGGAAUGGUCCCCACACCUAGUGCCCACCGUUUACGGCGUGGACUAC
This 379-nucleotide unclassified non-coding RNA is filed under the name uncultured bacterium. Its description in RNAcentral is "contains 16S-23S intergenic spacer region". The record is from RNAcentral.